RNAcentral lists this ribosomal RNA (462 nucleotides) under uncultured bacterium. Its description in RNAcentral is "bacterial SSU rRNA". It matches the Rfam family "Bacterial small subunit ribosomal RNA", at positions 28 to 507 of the family's 1533-position model. The record is from RNAcentral.
GACGAACGCUGGCGGCGUGCUUAACACAUGCAAGUCGAACGAUGAACCACUUCGGUGGGGAUUAGUGGCGAACGGGUGAGUAACACGUGGGCAAUCUGCCCUUCACUCUGGGACAAGCCCUGGAAACGGGGUCUAAUACCGGAUACGACUGCUACGGGCAUCCGUGGUGGUGGAAAGCUCCGGCGGUGAAGGAUGAGCCCGCGGCCUAUCAGCUUGUUGGUGAGGUAACGGCUCACCAAGGCGACGACGGGUAGCCGGCCUGAGAGGGCGACCGGCCACACUGGGACUGAGACACGGCCCAGACUCCUACGGGAGGCAGCAGUGGGGAAUAUUGCACAAUGGGCGAAAGCCUGAUGCAGCGACGCCGCGUGAGGGAUGACGGCCUUCGGGUUGUAAACCUCUUUCAGCAGGGAAGAAGCGAAAGUGACGGUACCUGCAGAAGAAGCGCCGGCUAACUACGUG